CGGAGUAUGGCGCAGUUUGGCAGCGUGCCACCUGGGGAUGGUGGAGGUCGUAGGUUCAAAUCCUGCUGCUCCGA
This 74-nucleotide transfer RNA is filed under the name Calocedrus formosana. RNAcentral's name for it is "tRNA-Pro". It matches the Rfam family "tRNA". From Rfam's summary of the family: Transfer RNA (tRNA) molecules are approximately 80 nucleotides in length. Their secondary structure includes four short double-helical elements and three loops (D, anti-codon, and T loops). Further hydrogen bonds mediate the characteristic L-shaped molecular structure. tRNAs have two regions of fundamental functional importance: the anti-codon, which is responsible for specific mRNA codon recognition, and the 3' end, to which the tRNAs corresponding amino acid is attached (by aminoacyl-tRNA synthetases). tRNAs cope with the degeneracy of the genetic code in two manners: having more than one tRNA (with a specific anti-codon) for a particular amino acid; and 'wobble' base-pairing, i.e. permitting non-standard base-pairing at the 3rd anti-codon position. RNAcentral also lists the same sequence under 1 other name. Lineage: Eukaryota; Viridiplantae; Streptophyta; Pinopsida; Cupressales; Cupressaceae. The record is from RNAcentral.